RNAcentral lists this ribosomal RNA (301 nucleotides) under uncultured bacterium. RNAcentral's name for it is "partial 16S ribosomal RNA". It matches the Rfam family "Bacterial small subunit ribosomal RNA", at positions 509 to 807 of the family's 1533-position model. The record is from RNAcentral.
CAGCCGCCACGGGAAUACAGAGGGUGCGAGCGUUAAUCGGAUUUACUGGGCGUAAAGCGUGCGUAGGCGGCUAAUUGAGUCGGAUGUGAAAUCCCCGAGCUUAACUUGGGAAUUGCAUUCGAUACUGGUUAGCUAGAGUGUGGGAGAGGAUGGUAGAAUUCCAGGUGUAGCGGUGAAAUGCGUAGAGAUCUGGAGGAAUACCGAUGGCGAAGGCAGCCAUCUGGCCUAACACUGACGCUGAGGUACGAAAGCAUGGGGAGCAAACAGGAUUAGAGACCCGCGUAGUCCCUGUCUCUUAUAC